UGUAUAAAAUGUCAUACUACAGAUUUGGAG
This 30-nucleotide non-coding RNA is filed under the name Cricetulus griseus (Chinese hamster). Lineage: Eukaryota; Metazoa; Chordata; Mammalia; Rodentia; Cricetidae. The record is from RNAcentral.